Molecule: non-coding RNA, 4519 nt
Organism: Salmo salar (Atlantic salmon)
Lineage: Eukaryota; Metazoa; Chordata; Actinopteri; Salmoniformes; Salmonidae
Source: RefSeq, a predicted model, not a curated record
UAACUGAAAAAGAAAAAGGACCAUUUUAACCCCCCUCAUCUUUUCUGCAGUAAUGAAGUGUGGGCCUCUGUUCUCUGAUGGAACCCUCCAGAACCUGUCCAUCCAGUUCCACCUUGAAUGUGGCUUCACCUCUCUGACCUACUAUGAGAACAACCCAGCCAAGGAGCACUUCCAACGGGCCAAGGAACUCUCCUAACUGGCCUAGAGAUGAACAUGAUAGUGCUCUGGGCAAACGGACUCGCUUCCAGCAGAACUUCCUUGCCCAGCUGAUCCUGGAUGUCAAGAGUAAGGAGGAUACCCCAGCUCCCGAGCUAGACGUUGAGCUGACCCUCUCCCCCACCCCACUGGCCUGCCUGCCCAAGUGCAUACUAUCUCAGCCCUGGUGACGGCGCUGUGUCUAAGGACCAACCUCGAGAGGGGCAGCUCUCGACGGGUGGAGAGGGCCAUGAUGCAGACACAGACUAUAGUGGAUUGCUUUGAGGAGAAGAGCUGUCCUUGUCACGGAGCGUCUGAAACUCUUCUACUGCUGCCGGGCUCCUCCCAGGAGCAGCUGGCCAACCUGCUGACAGACCUGGGCUGCACCAGCUCAGCCCUGCUAAUCUACGAGAAGCUGGAGCUGUGGGAGGAUGCUGUCAUCUGCCUGGAGAGGAUGGGCCAGCAUGGCAAGGCGGAGGAGACCCUGCGUAGGGAGCUGGAGAAGGAGUCCCUCAGUCUGUACUGCUUGCUGGGGGACGUGCUGCGGCACCACCAAUACUACAACCAGGCCUGGGAGCUGUCGAACCAUCGCAGCGCACGUGCCAUGCGCUCCAAGGCCCUGGUGUACCUCCGGGCCAAGGACUUCCAGCAGUGUGUGGAGUGCUUCGAGAAGUCACUCCGCAUCAACACCAUGCAGAUUGGGGUGUGGUUCUCUCUGGGCUGUGCCUACUUUGCCCUGGAGGGAGCUGCCAAGGCCUUCCAGACGUUUGUGGGACUGGAGCCAGAUAACGCAGAGGCGUGGAACAACCUCUCCACGGCCUACAUCCGCCUGAGACAGAAGACCAAGGCGUUCCACAACCUGCAGGAUGCUCUGAAAUGUAACUACGAACACUGGCAGGCAGACCUGGGAGAACUUCAUUGCCGUCUGCACCGACGUUGGAGAGUUUGCAGAGGCCAUCAAGGCCUACCACCGCCUCAUGGACCUGAGGGACAAAUUCAAGGAUGUACAGAUUCUAGAGUUCCUGGUGCGGGCGGUGGUGGAGGACAUGACGGAUAACCAUGGCGACCAGGCCUCGUCCCUGCGGGCCAAGGUCCAGGAGCUCCUGGGUCGCGCACGUCCCGCCAUAGCACCGACGCUGAGAUCUGGCGUCACUACGCCCUGCUGUAUGGAGACAGACAGAGCACCAGGCCUGGUGACAACGAGCGUUGCAUUUCCUGUCCAAGGCCCAUCGCUGUGAGGUCCAGGCCAGAGGCUGGGAGAAAGACACUGGGACCUUCAAGGAGGUUAUAAAGAGAGCCAUAGAUCUGGCCAACGGUUAUUGGGUCAAGCCGCGCGGGGAGGAGAUAUGAUCGAUGGCAGCCACGAGAAGAGUAAAAAGAAGACGAACAAAUCCGUCUUACCCCACUGCCCUCUGCGAAACGCAAUCGCGAUCCAAACAAUUACUCUGCGAGUUAGUGUGGAGGCAAGGGGGUUGGGAGAUGGAGACAGCAGGAAGGAUGGAGGAGAGUGUCCUAUAGAAGAACUUCAAUAAAGUUGUUAAUCUCAAAAAUCCCCAGGUUUUUCAUUACAGCCGGAUGCUGUUUUGAAUUAAACAUCAGAGGGAGUCAGGGCACCGGGACAACACGGGAGGAAUAGCAAUGUGCAUUCUCCAACACAUCUCUGGGGUUGAUGCUGUCGCUAGGGCUCAUCUUCACUCAGGUCACACACCUUGUCCCUCACAGACACUUACCUUACACCCCACACAUACACUUCAUUCCUCACGCACACCAUUACACACACACACACACACACACACACACACACACACACACACACACACAGGUUGUGGUGUGAAUCCCAAAACCCUCCCAUAUGCUGCCCCUGUGUCCUUCAGAAAAGCACAAAGCUUUAUAAAGAGAUACAGGUUGUGGUAGAGUGCCCCCUUUACCACAGCCCCCUCACUCAACUCAGCUUUGUAACCUCUAUGAUGGGCCUGGACACUUCAUCCACAGAGCUGAGAGGGAUGCGAAAAAAUAAAGUGAUGAGAACGAGGAGGAGGGUAGAGCAGAAGAGGUCUUCAUCCAUAAAUCAUGCUGUUUUGACCUUUCGCGCUGUCGCGGCUGAAGAAGACCAUACAGGGAAAAGGUGUAGCUCAGAUAGAGUAGAAGAGACCGCCGCUUGUUUUCCCUUCCUCAUGUGCAAGAAGAAGAUAAAAGGUGUUGGAAAAACACCAGGACAAAAGACUGUGGCGAUGGGGAAAUAGCCUAUCAAUAUCCUCACCGGUCUCAGGAACAUGGCUUUGUGUUGGUAUGUUUUUCAAAGCAGCACAGAAUAACAGAUUCUUCUGAGCUUUAUUCAUCAUUUUGUGUGGAUCAUAGCUACCAUAGAUAAGGUGUUUGUUGAAAUUGGUACAAUUCUACAAAAGAAUGAAUGGUGUUUCAUCACGCUGAAUGAAUAUUCACUGUGAUGUCCUCUGAAAAAUGAAGUAGAGGCGUUACAGAGGACAUUUUGAUCACGUUAUCUCGGACAGUGAUCACAGGAGUGAUUAAACAGGCAUUGUGGAAAAAGGUCUUGGUCUAAUGAUUUAUUUUCGAGCUGCCAGGCCUGUCACGGUGGGGGUGAACGGUGAAGUGUCUUUCGGCGUAACGAGAUGAGACCCACUGAAUGGAGUCACUGACUGCAGGCCUGAGAAAUCACCCUGAGGGAGGUGGAACCCUCAUUAACCAGUCCCAGGAGAAAUGACUCCUCUCCUCAACCUUUCCGCACAUGUGCAGUAUAACCCACAGUCCUGUGUCUAUAUGGGACCUGUUAGUCAUGCAUAGGUCCAUGGUGCCACAGUGUCUCACCAGGGCAGGCAGGGCCAUGGCCCCUGGACCCCGAACCAGAAACCCCUGAUCUCUCCCCUCCUGACCCUUCCAUGGUACCCCAUGCAUGAUGGUUGGUUGUCUCUCCCUCUAGCAAUCACUCAUUUUGAUACACAACUUACGUGCUUUGUCUUUUAAUCACAAAUAUUUACGUGCUAAUAGGUCUUUUCGGUCUCUAUUUCUCACAUGUAUGUGUUCACAGUGACCCUCAGCUGUAGUAAAAAGAAGAGCAACCCCCAGGAGUCAUUGCAGAUGUUGUCCUCCAUUCAUCUCGCCACCAAAGAGAAGCAACUGCACGCAGAUGUCGCAACUGGCGAGAUCCAUGGCGACCUGAGUGAUGAUGUCAAAGAGCUUGAGCAACUUAUCACAGAGCUGCAGGGGCAAAGUGGUUCGCUGCGCACAGAAUCAGCAUGAAUGCCUCGCUAUAGACACACCUCUAAGGACUCUAAAGACCUCCUACAGCAAACUUGUCCCAGAGCAGACAUGGCUACAAGGGACACUGUCAGGGGACCUGCACCCAUCACCCUCUUCCUUGCCAAGGGGACUUUACAUGCUUUUACAGUUCAUGUGACUGUAAAAAAAUAAAGAAUAACUUAACUGGAUACAUUUGUAUGUACAAAGUGUAAUUUUGUAUAGUUCCCCCUUGAGGUAUGUGCUAUUUGUUGUAUAAAGCAUGGUUGAGGAAUUGCUAGCUCAAUCAUGUUAUGAACUUUACGGAAUCUAAAGAAAUCACAACAUUUCUACAAUCAUAUAUUGUACAAAGAUGAAGCUUUAUGAUCAUACAACCACGCUUGCCUUAUUGUUAGUAUGUACUAGUCAUAACCCACUCCCCCCCCCCCCCCCAAAAAAAAAAGCCGGACUCCCCCAGGCGCAGUGAGAGCUUUGCAGAGGAGAAAUGUAAGCAUGUGGGCCAAAUAUAAGAGCGGUGCAGAGAUGCACAACAGGAGAGUGUGGACACACUCAUCACCAGGGAAGCAGUGGGCCAUGAAAGUGUCAUCCCACCUGGCCUCGCUCACACAGAACAGACACCAUGGAAGAAGAACAGACUCUGCACAGCUAACUCAUCAUCAUGCUCGGGGCUACAGACAGAGAUCCUACUAUCUUCUCCUCAUGGGGUUUCUCUCCGAAAGGAAAAUGACCUUGACAUUGCCUUUGUUUUAUCAUACUUAUUGUUUUAUUGCUAUCGUACAGGUUUUUUCUUUGUCUAUGCCUCUUUGUCAAGGACUGUCUCUGCCUUGCUUUGAAGUAAAGGCCCACAGUGUGGGGGACUGAUAAAGGAGAAAAUUACUUUUAUACGAGUAGAUAUGUACAUGUGUUAUGUCACAGCUGUAGUCCUCUUUCAUGAAUGUUAUUAGUUUUUUACCGAUGUGGUGAUAAUUUCCGGAUUGGGAAGGAAGUGUGCAUCACCCUUAAUGUAUACAUUCCAUCUUUUCCACAGUUUUUGAUCAGUUUUUGCAUACCAAACCAAUAAAAAUGUGAA